CGUGUCCGGAGCACCCAUGGGAUUUCAAAUUUGUGUCGUCGCCAUUUUGUAGUUGCAGAUAACAAGCAGCUCGAGCUCAAGCUCCAGUUCAGUGCCGCUGAGUUGCUUCCACAAGUUUCUGCGAAAUCGCAUAUUUCUGCGCUUAAAAAUAUCGAAGAAAUGCUUCGUUGUCGCUGUUUCGGCAGCAGGGCAAAGGCGCUGAAAAGGAAGUUUGACAUAACUUCAGAAGAAGUGGUCGUCUUUCAUUGCUGUCCUCAUGCUAUCGGACCACGUGGACAUCUCUAAUGGCGGAUGACUACUUCUGCAUUAACCUUGUAAAAGAACCGGAUGAAUCGUAUCCCAUCAGAUGUUGAAGACAGUCGACAUGUCCCACAACAGACAAUGAGCUGCCAUGUUGGUUUGAGGGAAAACACAUUUUUAGAAGGGUGUAGUUUAUACUGUAUGUACUAUUGAUUUGAACAUUUACUAAAUGAUCCAGUCUGGUCCAUAAGAUACAUCUGAGAUACAUACAGAGGUGGAUUUUGGAUGCAAUAGGAUUAGUGGGGCCACUUUAUACUUGCGCGGUCGACAAGACCCAAAUUGCCCCACGCAGCACCUAUGCGUAAUUUUCACCAAAGAGAUAAUCCCUUGUGAUGGGUGCGUUUUAGUCACAUGUGAUGACAUGUUUGCCCUUCUUCCCUGCUCCACGUACUACCUAUGUACCACCGCCUUCUUGAUCAAGUUUGCAGCAUAAUCAAACAUAUCUGGUCAUUUAGAUGCUCAAGCAGACAUUCUUCCAGGGUUGCCGUUGUUUUGUUUUGCGUUACGGAAAGUAAAAAUGGCUAUUGCAAAUGACCAACGUGUGCUGAGGAAACUCCUUGCUGUGUCGUACUAGCCAUAGCGACACCUGUAUUUUCAUAACUGCAGGCUUGGGAGAGCUACAGUGAUCUCAGCGCGCCAGUAUAAAGCCUUUCGUCAUCCUUUUAAUCCGUUUUACAAGUUUAGCUUUUGUCUUAUAAAACGAAUGAGUCAAAUUGCAGCCAGGGAAAGAGUAGAAUCUUGUUUACAUGUUUUCCCCAACAUCAACAUGGCGGCUACUUGUUUACAUUGGACAUUCACUGAGGCCCGAUUGACUAAUUCCACUUCAGUUCCCAUCAGGAGGAGGAUGUCUUCUGGCAGGACAAAGCUGAUGUUACCUGUGGCAACAUACCAACUCAUCUCCUGGCAAAACUGCCACCUUGCCAGGAAUUUGAUGCAAUGAUGAUGAAACCUAAAGGUGCAACUUUAGUGUGCACCCAACCCAAGUGUAUUCAGAGUGACAGAACAGUUUGGUUGGGGAAGGAUGUCAUGUCAUAUUUGAACAUUUGUUAACCAACAAUUACAAUAAAUACUAGCUUAGAAUGAAUAAAAUAUCUGAAUGUAUGUUUUGU
This is a long non-coding RNA of Syngnathoides biaculeatus (alligator pipefish), 1409 nucleotides long. RefSeq lists it as uncharacterized. NCBI's taxonomy places the organism in Eukaryota, Metazoa, Chordata, Actinopteri, Syngnathiformes, Syngnathidae. The transcript is spliced from 4 exons. The record is from RefSeq and is a predicted model, not a curated record.